This 640-nucleotide ribosomal RNA is filed under the name uncultured beta proteobacterium. RNAcentral's name for it is "bacterial SSU rRNA". It matches the Rfam family "Bacterial small subunit ribosomal RNA", at positions 78 to 718 of the family's 1533-position model. The record is from RNAcentral. Lineage: Bacteria; Pseudomonadati; Pseudomonadota; Betaproteobacteria.
CUUCGGAUGCUGACGAGUGGCGAACGGGUGAGUAAAACAUCGGAACGUGCCCAGUAAUGGGGGAUAGCUCGGCGAAAGCCGGAUUAAUACCGCAUACGCCCUGAGGGGGAAAGUGGGGGAUCGCAGGACCUCACGUUAUUGGAGCGGCCGAUGGCUGAUUAGCUAGUUGGUAGGGUAAAGGCCUACCAAGGCGACGAUCAGUAGCUGGUCUGAGAGGACGAUCAGCCACACUGGGACUGAGACACGGCCCAGACUCCUACGGGAGGCAGCAGUGGGGAAUUUUGGACAAUGGGGGAAACCCUGAUCCAGCAAUGCCGCGUGUGCGAAGAAGGCCUUCGGGUUGUAAAGCACUUUUGUCAGGGAAGAAAUCCUUUGGGCUAAUACCCUAGGGGGAUGACGGUACCUGAAGAAUAAGCACCGGCUAACUACGUGCCAGCAGCCGCGGUAAUACGUAGGGUGCAAGCGUUAAUCGGAAUUACUGGGCGUAAAGCGUGCGCAGGCGGUUGUGUAAGACAGGUGUGAAUCCCCGGGCUUAACCUGGGAAUUGCAUUUGUGACUGCACGACUAGAGUGUGUCAGAGGGGGGUGGAUUCCACGUGUAGCAGUGAAAUGCGUAGAUAUCUGGAGGACACCAAUGGCGA